RNAcentral lists this unclassified non-coding RNA (291 nucleotides) under Herpotrichiellaceae sp. RNAcentral's name for it is "partial contains 5.8S ribosomal RNA, internal transcribed spacer 2, and large subunit ribosomal RNA". The stretch from base 1 to 71 matches the Rfam family "5.8S ribosomal RNA", at positions 84 to 154 of the family's 154-position model. The record is from RNAcentral. Lineage: Eukaryota; Fungi; Ascomycota; Eurotiomycetes; Chaetothyriales; Herpotrichiellaceae.
GUGAGUCAUCGAAUCUUUGAACGCACAUUGCGCCCUUUGGUAUUCCGAAGGGCAUGCCUGUUCGAGCGUCAUUAUCAAAGCAUCAAGCUUGGCUUGUCGUUGGGCCCUUUGUCACCUGGUGACAGGUCCAAAAGAUAAUGAGCGGUGUCAUAAGGACUCUAUAUGUAACGAGCUUAUAACAGCACGCAUCUAGUAGUCAUGUGGCCCGGUUCUCAUCCCUUUAUUUCUCAAGGUUGACCUCGGAUCAGGUAGGAAUACCCGCUGAACUUAAGCAUAUCAAUAAGCGGAGGA